This 697-nucleotide ribosomal RNA is filed under the name uncultured Alphaproteobacteria bacterium. RNAcentral's name for it is "bacterial SSU rRNA". It matches the Rfam family "Bacterial small subunit ribosomal RNA", at positions 95 to 829 of the family's 1533-position model. The record is from RNAcentral. Lineage: Bacteria; Pseudomonadati; Pseudomonadota; Alphaproteobacteria.
GUGGCAACGGGUGAGUAUAAUGUGGGAAUCUGCCUUUUGGUUUGGAAUAACACGGGGAAACUUGUGCUAAUACCGAAUAAGCCCUUACGGGGAAAGUUUUAACGCCGAAAGAUGACCCGCACUUGAUUACGCUAGUUGCGUAAGCUAAACGCUCACCAAGGCACCGAUCACUCGCUGUUCUUAGAGGAAGACCACCCACACCGGGACUGAGACACGGCCCACACUCCUACGGGAGGCAGCAGUGGGGAAUCUUGCACAAUGGGGGAAACCCUGAUGCAGCGAUGCCGCGUGAGUGAAGAACGCCCUUGGGUUGUAAAACUCUUUCGUCGGGGAAGAAAAUGACUGUACCCGAAUACGAAGGUCCGGCUAACUUCGUGCCAGCAGCCGCGGUAAUACGAAGGGACCUAGCGUAGUUCGGAAUUACUGGGCUUACAGAGCUCGUAGGUGGUUAAACCAGUUGAUGGUGAAAUCCCAAGGCUCAACCUUGGAACUGCCAUCAAAACUUUCUAGCUACGAGUGUGAUAGAGGUAAGUGGAAUUACUACUGUAGAGGUGAAAUUCGAAGAUAUUAGAAAGAACACCAAAUGCGAACGCCCCUUACUGGCUCACUACUGACACUGAGGAGCGAAAGGCAUGGGUAGCGAAGAGGUUACAUACCUCGGAAUCCUGCCGUAACGAUGUGUGCUAACGUUGCAAAU